UACGGAGGGUGCGAGCGUUGUUCGGAAUUACUGGGCGUAAAGCGCGUGUAGGCGGCUGCCUAAGUCUGAUGUGAAAGCCCGAGGCUUACCCUCGGAAGUGCAUUGGAAACUGAGCAGCUAGAGUAUCGGAGAGGAGGGUGGAAUUCCUGGUGUAGCGGUGAAAUGCGUAGAUAUCAGGAAGAACACCGGUGGCGAAGGCGGCCCUCUGGACGAAUACUGACGCUGAGACGCGAAAGCGUGGGGAGCAAACAGG
Molecule: ribosomal RNA, 253 nt
Filed under: uncultured bacterium
Lineage: Bacteria
Description: partial 16S ribosomal RNA
Rfam family: Bacterial small subunit ribosomal RNA
Source: RNAcentral